RNAcentral lists this ribosomal RNA (253 nucleotides) under uncultured bacterium. Its description in RNAcentral is "partial 16S ribosomal RNA". It matches the Rfam family "Bacterial small subunit ribosomal RNA", at positions 524 to 776 of the family's 1533-position model. The record is from RNAcentral.
GACGAAGGAUGCAAGCGUUAUCCGGAUUCAUUGGGUUUAAAGGGAGCGUAGGUGGCCUUAUAAGUCAGUGGUGAAAUCUCUCAGCUUAACUGAGAAAUUGCCAUUGAUACUGUAGGGCUUGAGUACAGAUGCCGUUGGCGGAAUAUGACAUGUAGUGGUGAAAUACAUAGAGAUGUCAUAGAACACCGAAUGCGAAGGCAGCUGACGAAACUGUAACUGACACUGAGGCUCGAAAGUGCGGGGAUCAAACAGG